UACGUAGGGUCCGAGCGUUGUCCGGAAUUACUGGGCGUAAAGAGCUCGUAGGUGGUUUGUCGCGUUGUUCGUGAAAACUCACAGCUCAACUGUGGGCGUGCGGGCGAUACGGGCAGACUUGAGUACUGCAGGGGAGACUGGAAUUCCUGGUGUAGCGGUGGAAUGCGCAGAUAUCAGGAGGAACACCGGUGGCGAAGGCGGUUCUCUGGGCCUGUACUGACGCUGAGGCGCGAAAGCUAGGGGAGCAAACGGG
RNAcentral lists this ribosomal RNA (253 nucleotides) under uncultured bacterium. Its description in RNAcentral is "partial 16S ribosomal RNA". It matches the Rfam family "Bacterial small subunit ribosomal RNA", at positions 524 to 776 of the family's 1533-position model. The record is from RNAcentral.